RNAcentral lists this long non-coding RNA (521 nucleotides) under Capsicum annuum. RNAcentral's name for it is "long non-coding RNA (CANN_LNC019202)". Lineage: Eukaryota; Viridiplantae; Streptophyta; Magnoliopsida; Solanales; Solanaceae. The record is from RNAcentral.
AAUUUCUCUUGCUUGUUGGCCAAGCUAUUCUCUGUGGGAUCGAUACCCAACCCAGGUUGGGUUCUAUAUUUGCUAACGACCGCUUUACACUCCCACGAGAGCUGUAGAUUGAGCGUUAUCAGGGGUUCGCAUCCAUGCCGGGGAAUACGAGUGUCAAUCAAGUUCGUGAAAAUUACUAGACCCUUUGGUCAAAGAUUCUCGUACUUUUACGUUUAGUUUUUGUUUUUGUUUAUUGCAGGUUUUUCUUUUAGUGCAUGCCCCAUACUAGAAGUUCUGGUCAACCGUUACUACCAAUCAAUCCGGAACCACAACGAAUCAGAAGAAUGGAAGCACAAGCGGAAAUCGACAGGAUGGCUGCUCAACAUGAGCAAGCAAGAUUAGCUGCUCUUGCCGCUGCUCAAGUCCAACAACAAAACAUUGAUAAUCCUGGACGAGCAACAAAUCCUGACGAUGAAGAUUUAGGAGAUGACGAGUUGAUCAACCCAAGGCAUGGCGCUGAAAUGGCAACACCUACCAACAGA